UACGGGGGGGGCAAGCGUUGUUCGGAAUUACUGGGCGUAAAGGGCUCGUAGGCGGCCAACUAAGUCAGACGUGAAAUCCCUCGGCUUAACCGGGGAACUGCGUCUGAUACUGGAUGGCUUGAGGUUGGGAGAGGGAUGCGGAAUUCCAGGUGUAGCGGUGAAAUGCGUAGAUAUCGUUUGGAACGCCAACGGUGAAAACAGCAGGCUGGGGAUGUGCUGACGCUGAGACACGAAAGCCAGGGGAGCAAACGGG
Molecule: ribosomal RNA, 253 nt
Filed under: uncultured bacterium
Lineage: Bacteria
Description: partial 16S ribosomal RNA
Rfam family: Bacterial small subunit ribosomal RNA
Source: RNAcentral